This 253-nucleotide ribosomal RNA is filed under the name uncultured bacterium. Its description in RNAcentral is "partial 16S ribosomal RNA". It matches the Rfam family "Bacterial small subunit ribosomal RNA", at positions 524 to 776 of the family's 1533-position model. The record is from RNAcentral.
GACGGAGGGUGCAAACGUUGUUCGGAUUCACUGGGCAUAAAGCGCACGUAGGCGGCCCGUUUAGUCAGUUGUGAAAUCCCCCGGCUCAACCGGGGAAUGGCAUCUGAUACUGGCGGGCUCGAGGUCGGUAGGGGUGAGCGGAACUCCAGGUGGAGCGGUGAAAUGCGUAGAUAUCUGGAGGAACACCGGUGGCGAAAGCGGCUCACUAGGCCGGCUCUGACGCUAAGGUGCGAAAGCUAGGGUAGCAAACGGG